Molecule: ribosomal RNA, 315 nt
Filed under: Triticum aestivum (bread wheat)
Lineage: Eukaryota; Viridiplantae; Streptophyta; Magnoliopsida; Poales; Poaceae
Description: partial small subunit ribosomal RNA
Source: RNAcentral
AUGGAUAAGUGGGCCAUCAAAAAGCUAGACAAAUAUAGAAGAAACUUUCUUUGGGCUGGGGAUGAGGAGACAAGCGGAAGUAAAUGCUUGGUAAAUUGGAAACAAUGUUGCUCCCCCAAAAGUCUCGGUGGCCUCGGAAUCAAAGAGCUAACCUGUUAUAGCAGAGCUUUGAGACUCCGAUGGUGUUGGUUCGAAUGGGAUGACACUGACAGACCUUGGAGAGGUUCCCGAAUUCCGUGCAAUGCAAUAGACAGAGACCUUUUCUCCGCCUGCACCAAGAUCAUUUUGGGGAACGGACAAAAGGCAAAUUUCUAG